RNAcentral lists this ribosomal RNA (480 nucleotides) under uncultured bacterium. RNAcentral describes it as "bacterial SSU rRNA". It matches the Rfam family "Bacterial small subunit ribosomal RNA", at positions 28 to 505 of the family's 1533-position model. The record is from RNAcentral.
GAUGAACGCUAGCGGCAGGCUUAACACAUGCAAGUCGAGGGGCAGCACGGGUAGCAAUACCUGGUGGCGACCGGCGCAAGGGUGCGUAACGCGUGAGCAACAUGCCCUAUACAGGGGGAUAAUCCAGGGAAACUUGGUCUAAUAUCCCAUAGUAUUUAGAGGAGGCAUCUUCUAUAAAUUAAAGCUUCGGUGGUAUAGGAUUGGCUCGCGUGACAUUAGCUAGAUGGUGAGGUAACGGCUCACCAUGGCAAUGAUGUCUAGGGGUUCUGAGAGGAAGGCCCCCAACUGGGACUGAGACACGGCCCAGACUCCUACGGGAGCAGCAGUGAGGAAUAUUGGUCAAUGGAGGCAACUCUGAACCAGCCAUGCCGCGUGCAGGAUGACGGCCCUAGUGGGUUGUAAACUGCUUUUGUACCAGAGAAACCUACUCACGUGUGAGUAGCUGAUAGUAUAGGUAAGAAUAAGCAGUCGGACUUAACG